CCUACGGGUGGCAGCAGUGAGGAAUAUUGGUCAAUGGGCGCGAGCCUGAACCAGCCAAGUCGCGUGAGGGAAGACGGUCCUAUGGAUUGUAAACCUCUUUUGUCGGGGAGCAAAAGACGCCACGCGUGGCGUUCCGAGAGUACCCGAAGAAAAAGCAUCGGCUAACGCCGUGCCAGCAGCGGCGGUAAUACGGAGGAUGCGAUCGUUAUCCGGAUUUAUGGGGUUUAAAGGGUGCGCAGGCGGAAGAUCAAGUCAGCGGUAAAAUUGAGAGGCUCAACCUCUUCGAGCCGUUGAAACUGGUUUUCUUGAGUGAGUGAGAAGUAUGCGGAAUGCGUGGUGUAGCGGUGAAAUGCAUAGAUAUCACGCAGAACUCCGAUUGCGAAGGCAGCAUACCGGCGCUCAACUGACGCUCAUGCUCGAAAGCGUGGGGAGCAAACAGGAUUAGAUACCCGGGUAGUC
This 459-nucleotide ribosomal RNA is filed under the name uncultured bacterium. RNAcentral describes it as "partial 16S ribosomal RNA". It matches the Rfam family "Bacterial small subunit ribosomal RNA", at positions 338 to 795 of the family's 1533-position model. The record is from RNAcentral.